GAUGAAGAACGUAGCGAAAUGCGAUAAGUAAUGUGAAUUGCAGAAUUCAGUGAAUCAUCGAAUCUUUGAACGCACAUUGCGCCCUCUGGUAUUCCGGGGGGCAUGCCUGUUCGAACGUCAUUACAACCCUCAAGCUUUGCUUGGUAUUGGACAUUGCCAGUUUCUGGCAGGUCUUAAAAUCAGUGGCGGUGCCAUUUGGCUUCAAGCGUAGUAAUUCUUCUCGCUUUGGAGAUCCAGGUGGUUACUUGCCAAUAACCCCCAAUUUUUUCAGGUUGACCUCGGAUCAGGUAGGGAUACCCGCUGAACUUAAGCAUAUCAAUAAGCGGAGGA
Molecule: unclassified non-coding RNA, 330 nt
Filed under: soil metagenome
Description: partial contains 5.8S ribosomal RNA, internal transcribed spacer 2, and large subunit ribosomal RNA
Rfam family: 5.8S ribosomal RNA (bases 1-120)
Source: RNAcentral